GCCUACUUAGCUCAAUAGGUAGAGCAUCGGUCUUGUUAAGCGGGAGGUUGCUAGUUCAAAUCUAGUAGUAGGCA
This 74-nucleotide transfer RNA is filed under the name Caulerpa cupressoides. Its description in RNAcentral is "tRNA-Thr". It matches the Rfam family "tRNA". Rfam says of the family: Transfer RNA (tRNA) molecules are approximately 80 nucleotides in length. Lineage: Eukaryota; Viridiplantae; Chlorophyta; Ulvophyceae; Bryopsidales; Caulerpaceae. The record is from RNAcentral.